This 447-nucleotide ribosomal RNA is filed under the name uncultured bacterium. RNAcentral's name for it is "partial 16S ribosomal RNA". It matches the Rfam family "Bacterial small subunit ribosomal RNA", at positions 29 to 523 of the family's 1533-position model. The record is from RNAcentral.
AACGAACGCUGGCGGCAGGCCUAACACAUGCAAGUCGAGCGCCCCGCAAGGGGAGCGGCGGACGGGUGAGUAACGCGUGGGAACGUGCCCUUUGCUACGGAAUAGCCCCGGGAAACUGGGAGUAAUACCGGAUAAGCCCUACGGGGGAGAGAUUUAUCGGCAAAGGAUCGGCCCGCGUUGGAUUAGGUAGUUGGUGGGGUAAUGGCCUACCAAGCCGACGAUCCAUAGCUGGUUUGAGAGGAUGAUCAGCCACACUGGGACUGAGACACGGCCCAGACUCCUACGGGAGGCAGCAGUGGGGAAUCUUAGACAAUGGGCGCAAGCCUGAUCUAGCCAUGCCGCGUGAGCGAUGAAGGCCUUAGGGUUGUAAAGCUCUUUCGUGGGGGAAGAUAAUGACUGUACCCCAAGAAGAAGCCCCGGCUAACUCCGUGCCAGCAGCCGCGGUAA